AGGGAAUCUUCCGCAAUGGACGAAAGUCUGACGGAGCAACGCCGCGUGAGUGAUGAAGGUUUUCGGAUCGUAGAGCUCUGUUGCCAGGGAAGAACGUCUUCUGGAGUAACUGCCAGGAGAGUGACGGUACCUGAGAAGAAAGCCCCGGCUAACUACGUGCCAGCAGCCGCGGUAAUACGUAGGGGGCAAGCGUUGUCCGGAAUUAUUGGGCGUAAAGCGCGCGCAGGCGGCUGUUAAGACUGGUGUUUAAUCCUGGGGCUCAACCCCGGGUCGCACUGGAAACUGGACAGCUUGAGUGCAGAAGAGGAGAGUGGAAUUCCACGUGUAGCGGUGAAAUGCGUAGAGAUGUGGAGGAACACCAGUGGCGAAGGCGACUCUCUGGGCUGUAACUGACGCUGAGGCGCGAAAGCGUGGGGAGCAAAC
Molecule: ribosomal RNA, 423 nt
Filed under: uncultured bacterium
Lineage: Bacteria
Description: bacterial SSU rRNA
Rfam family: Bacterial small subunit ribosomal RNA
Source: RNAcentral